This 253-nucleotide ribosomal RNA is filed under the name uncultured bacterium. RNAcentral's name for it is "partial 16S ribosomal RNA". It matches the Rfam family "Bacterial small subunit ribosomal RNA", at positions 524 to 776 of the family's 1533-position model. The record is from RNAcentral.
UACGGAGGGGGCUAGCGUUGUUCGGGAUUACUGGGCGUAAAGCGCACGUAGGCGGACUGGAAAGUCAGGGGUGAAAUCCCGGGGCUCAACCCCGGAACUGCCUUUGAAACUCCCGGUCUUGAGGUCGAGAGAGGUGAGUGGAAUUCCGAGUGUAGAGGUGAAAUUCGUAGAUAUUCGGAGGAACACCAGUGGCGAAGGCGGCUCACUGGCUCGAUACUGACGCUGAGGUGAGAAAGCGUGGGGAGCAAACAGG